Molecule: ribosomal RNA, 314 nt
Filed under: Bacillus anthracis (anthrax bacterium)
Lineage: Bacteria; Bacillati; Bacillota; Bacilli; Caryophanales; Bacillaceae
Description: bacterial SSU rRNA
Rfam family: Bacterial small subunit ribosomal RNA
Source: RNAcentral
CACGUGCUACAAUGGACGGUACAAAGAGCUGCAAGACCGCGAGGUGGAGCUAAUCUCAUAAAACCGUUCUCAGUUCGGAUUGUAGGCUGCAACUCGCCUACAUGAAGCUGGAAUCGCUAGUAAUCGCGGAUCAGCAUGCCGCGGUGAAUACGUUCCCGGGCCUUGUACACACCGCCCGUCACACCACGAGAGUUUGUAACACCCGAAGUCGGUGGGGUAACCUUUUGGAGCCAGCCGCCUAAGGUGGGACAGAUGAUUGGGGUGAAGUCGUAACAAGGUAGCCGUAUCGGAAGGUGCGGUUGGAUACACACUCC